RNAcentral lists this ribosomal RNA (304 nucleotides) under uncultured bacterium. Its description in RNAcentral is "partial 16S ribosomal RNA". It matches the Rfam family "Bacterial small subunit ribosomal RNA", at positions 509 to 807 of the family's 1533-position model. The record is from RNAcentral.
CAGCAGUCGCCGCGGGAAUACAGAGGGUGCGAGCGUUAAUCGGAUUUACUGGGCGUAAAGCGUGCGUAGGCGGCUUUUUAAGUCGGAUGUGAAAUCCCUGAGCUUAACUUAGGAAUUGCAUUCGAUACUGGGAAGCUAGAGUAUGGGAGAGGAUGGUAGAAUUCCAGGUGUAGCGGUGAAAUGCGUAGAGAUCUGGAGGAAUACCGAUGGCGAAGGCAGCCAUCUGGCCUAAUACUGACGCUGAGGUACGAAAGCAUGGGGAGCAAACAGGAUUAGAGACCCGCGUAGUCCCUGUCUCUUAUAC